CGAAGGGGCUAGCGUUGCUCGGAAUCACGUGGGACGUAAAGGGCGCGUAGGCGGCCAUUCAAGUCGGGGGUGAAAGCCUGUGGCUCAACCACAGAAUUGCCUUCGAUACUGUUUGGCUUGAGUUGGUAGAGGUUGGUGGAACUGCGAGUGUAGAGGUGAAAUUCGUAGAUAUUCGCAAGAACACCAGUGGCGAAGGCGGCCAACUGGACCAAUACUGACGCUGAGGCGCGAAAAGCGUGGGGGAGCAAAACAGGAUU
RNAcentral lists this ribosomal RNA (257 nucleotides) under uncultured bacterium. RNAcentral describes it as "partial 16S ribosomal RNA". It matches the Rfam family "Bacterial small subunit ribosomal RNA", at positions 527 to 779 of the family's 1533-position model. The record is from RNAcentral.